ACUCCUACGGGAGGCAGCAGUGGGGAAUAUUGCACAAUGGGCGCAAGCCUGAUGCAGCCAUGCCGCGUGUAUGAAGAAGGCCUUCGGGUUGUAAAGUACUUUCAGCGAGGAGGAAGGCAUUAAGGUUAAUAACAUUAGUGAUGACGUACUCG
Molecule: ribosomal RNA, 152 nt
Filed under: uncultured bacterium
Lineage: Bacteria
Description: partial 16S ribosomal RNA
Rfam family: Bacterial small subunit ribosomal RNA
Source: RNAcentral